CUUAGUUCGUGGAGUGAUCUGUCUGCUUAAUUGCGUUUCAAAAUUUAACUUGAGGACCGGGUUUUGGUUUGGCUAGUGGUUCUACGAUGACUGUGAACUGUCAUGUCUUCGGAUGUGCGACUAUUGGUCUAGGAUCACAUGACUUGCCCCUGGGACUCUUUUGAACGCAACGGACGUGAUUGCAACCCCUUGUUGAGAUUAGAGAUAGUCUCGAUAUUCACUGGACAAACUGGCUGCUUUAUGCAGUCUUGUUGAAUGGUGGAUAAACUCGGGGGACUGCUGACUAUAACCAUUUCUCAAAACAGAGGAAGGUUGCGGCAAUAACAGGUCUGUGAUGCCCUCAGAUGUCCCGGGCUGCACACGUGCUACAAUGAGUGGCGCAAUGUGCUAAUGUUUAAGGGAUAAGAGUGUGGUCAGUAGAACGUCGGGAUUUCCCCUGACGUCUCCCCCGCACGAUUAUCAGCCUUCCCUUAACAGGGCGGGCAACCUUUUCAAAAUACUGGUUUGAUGUUAAAGUAUUGAGUCGUUUUUUUUGGAUGGUGGUUUGUUAACCAAUACCAUCCGGCAACUGCUCGCGAGUUUGUGGUUCUGGCGACUCAUGGU
This 603-nucleotide ribosomal RNA is filed under the name Globigerinoides ruber albus. Its description in RNAcentral is "partial small subunit ribosomal RNA". The stretch from base 1 to 539 matches the Rfam family "Eukaryotic small subunit ribosomal RNA", at positions 1293 to 1605 of the family's 1831-position model. Lineage: Eukaryota; Foraminifera; Rotaliida; Globigerinidae. The record is from RNAcentral.